This 1386-nucleotide ribosomal RNA is filed under the name Triticum aestivum (bread wheat). Its description in RNAcentral is "partial small subunit ribosomal RNA". Lineage: Eukaryota; Viridiplantae; Streptophyta; Magnoliopsida; Poales; Poaceae. The record is from RNAcentral.
AUGGGGGGACGAUGGGUUAGAUGUGUAUGGCAAUGGACAGCACCGGGGUUCCUCCUCCACAGGAGGGGGCGUGGUUAUGCCUGGCAGAGUGACGGGUCUGCUGAGAGACCGUUUCUCGGGCCUCCAGGAGGUUUUGUUGAGGGUGCUUCCGGUCCGGAUCACCGCGAGAGAGGGGGUCAUCGUGGACAUCGCGGUGGUCGGGGCGGUGGCCGCGGGAGGUAUCAUCGCAGACCGCCUCCGCCUCCGGCAGUUGUUGACCAAGCGGAGUCAGUACUGGAGACCGAUUGCGCUUCCACGGAGCUCCCUCCCCAGGCAAUGGAGGUGGUAGCGGCUUUAGCCACUGUUGAGGUUCCGACGACUGGGAGUGUGACUGAGGUUACCGACAUGUCUGAUGCUCAGAGGGCGUCCAAGUGGGUGCGUAAGAAGGAAAGGAUGCUUUGCUACCGUUGUGGUGAGAAGGGCCACUUCAUCGCUGAAUGCGUGGCAGAGCUGUGUGAGUCCUGUGGUAAGCCGGCACAUGCCUCGGGGGAUUGCCCGUUGUUGCGUGACCAGGCUCCGUCUUUGACUAUGUAUGGAGUUUAUUGUGCUGAGCUAAUGUUCUUUGAGUCCCCGGCAACGAGAGAGACACCGGAGGAGACUUUGAGCUUGACCACCGGGGUUGUCAAAGCUACUCAGGGUGAGGUUUCGGAGGAUCAGAUAGUGCAGAGGCUUCAGGAACUGGCACCGGGAGACUUCCAUUGGGAGCUCGUUCCUCUUGAGGCCAAGGUUUUUAAGGUGGAGUUUCCUUCAGUGGACGAUCUGCAGCGACUGUUGAGUUUUGGUUUAUGCAGAGUUCCUGGCACUAGGUGCAUUCUGGAGUUCCAUGAGUGGCAGCAGGUGGAACCUAAAGGAAAGCCGCUUACGCAGGUCUGGUUGCGGUUUUCGGGGGCUCCAUCUAAGCCUUUGCAGGAUGUUCGAGUCGUGGCCAGUAUGGGCAUUAUGGUUGGCAAGAUGGAGAAAGUGGAUAUGGCCUUUACUUGUGCACAUGGAGUGGCCCGCAUCUUAGUGAGUGUUUUGGAUAUUGAGUUCGUGCCUGACGUGGUUAACUGGACUUACAGAGGAGAGGUGUUUCCUCUUGAGAUCGAGUUUGAGGACGCUGCCCUGUUUGCUAAGGCAAUGAUUGGGAAUGAUGUUGACAUGCACGAGGGGGACGACAGUACGGGAGCUGAGGAGGCACCGACUGACGAGUCGACUCGUGAGUGGACUAACGGCUCUCGUCCUGUAGCUCAGACCGGGGAUGGAACCGGGGUUGAGCCGGCACCUUCUCCAUCGGUGCCUAUGACUUCGUUGCGGUUCGGGUCCUUUGAGCCAGCCUCUGCCCCUCCCAGACUUUGGAGUGACCGGUAG